RNAcentral lists this transfer RNA (74 nucleotides) under Pseudozyma flocculosa PF-1. RNAcentral describes it as "tRNA-Val (AAC) (tRNA-Val-AAC-2 1 to 6)". Lineage: Eukaryota; Fungi; Basidiomycota; Ustilaginomycetes; Ustilaginales; Ustilaginaceae. The record is from RNAcentral.
GGUUUCUUGGCGCAGUUGGUCAGCGCGUCUCCUUAACACGGAGGAGGUCCUCAGUUCGAGCCUGGGAGAGAUCA